AUCGAUGAUACUAGCAUGCGAGUCUUGUAGUAUACAAGCAGACGCUCAGUACACGUAGUCAACCUACCCUAUGGACAAGAAUAAUCUCGGGAAACUGGGCAUAAUUCUUGAUAGAUCAUAAUGCCUGGAAUGGUUUAUGGUUAAAAUGAUUCGUCGCCAUAGGAUGGGACUGCGGCCUAUCAGCUUGUUGGUGAGGUAAUGGCCCACCAAGGCGAUUACAGGUACGGGCUCUGAGAGGAGAAGCCCGGAGAUGGGUACUGAGACACGGACCCAGGCCCUAUGGGGCGCAGCAGGCGAGAAAACUUUGCAAUGUGCGAAAGCACGACAAGGUUAAUCCGAGUGAUUUCUGCUAAAGAAAUCUUUUGCCAGUCAUAAAACCACUGGUGAAUAAGGGGUGGGCAAGUUCUGGUGUCAGCCGCCGCGGUAAAACCAGCACCUCAAGUGGUCAGGAUGAUUGUUGGGCCUAAAGCAUCCGUAGCCGGCUUUGUAAGUUUUCGGUUAAAUCCAUGUGCUCAACGCAUGGGCUGCCGAAAAUACUGCAUGGCUAGGGAGUGGGAGAGGUAGACGGUACUCAGUAGGAAGGGGUAAAAUCCUUUGAUCUAUUGAUGACCACCUGUGGCGAAGGCGGUCUACCAGAACACGUUCGACGGUGAGGGAUGAAAGCUGGGGGAGCAAACCGGAUUAGAUACCCGGGUAGUCCCAGCUGUAAACGAUGCAGACUAGAUGAUGCAUUGGCAUAAUAGCCAUUGCAGUGUCUCAGGGAAGCCGUUAAGUCUGCCGCCUGGGAAGUACGUACGCAAGUAUGAAACUUAAAGGAAUUG
This 821-nucleotide ribosomal RNA is filed under the name uncultured marine group I thaumarchaeote. Its description in RNAcentral is "SSU rRNA". It matches the Rfam family "Archaeal small subunit ribosomal RNA", at positions 32 to 867 of the family's 1478-position model. The record is from RNAcentral. Lineage: Archaea; Thermoproteati; Nitrososphaerota.